This 2902-nucleotide ribosomal RNA is filed under the name Escherichia coli KTE53. Its description in RNAcentral is "bacterial LSU rRNA". It matches the Rfam family "Bacterial large subunit ribosomal RNA". The record is from RNAcentral. Lineage: Bacteria; Pseudomonadati; Pseudomonadota; Gammaproteobacteria; Enterobacterales; Enterobacteriaceae.
UUAAGCGACUAAGCGUACACGGUGGAUGCCCUGGCAGUCAGAGGCGAUGAAGGACGUGCUAAUCUGCGAUAAGCGUCGGUGAGGUGAUAUGAACCGUUAUAACCGGCGAUUUCCGAAUGGGGAAACCCAGUGUGUUUCGACACACUAUCAUUAACUGAAUCCAUAGGUUAAUGAGGCGAACCGGGGGAACUGAAACAUCUAAGUACCCCGAGGAAAAGAAAUCAACCGAGAUUCCCCCAGUAGCGGCGAGCGAACGGGGAGGAGCCCAGAGCCUGAAUCAGUGUGUGUGUUAGUGGAAGCGUCUGGAAAGGCGUGCGAUACAGGGUGACAGCCCCGUACACAAAAAUGCACAUAUUGUGAGCUCGAUGAGUAGGGCGGGACACGUGGUAUCCUGUCUGAAUAUGGGGGGACCAUCCUCCAAGGCUAAAUACUCCUGACUGACCGAUAGUGAACCAGUACCGUGAGGGAAAGGCGAAAAGAACCCCGGCGAGGGGAGUGAAAAAGAACCUGAAACCGUGUACGUACAAGCAGUGGGAGCCUCUUAAUGGGGUGACUGCGUACCUUUUGUAUAAUGGGUCAGCGACUUAUAUUCUGUAGCAAGGUUAACCGAAUAGGGGAGCCGAAGGGAAACCGAGUCUUAACUGGGCGUUAAGUUGCAGGGUAUAGACCCGAAACCCGGUGAUCUAGCCAUGGGCAGGUUGAAGGUUGGGUAACACUAACUGGAGGACCGAACCGACUAAUGUUGAAAAAUUAGCGGAUGACUUGUGGCUGGGGGUGAAAGGCCAAUCAAACCGGGAGAUAGCUGGUUCUCCCCGAAAGCUAUUUAGGUAGCGCCUCGUGAAUUCAUCUCCGGGGGUAGAGCACUGUUUCGGCAAGGGGGUCAUCCCGACUUACCAACCCGAUGCAAACUGCGAAUACCGGAGAAUGUUAUCACGGGAGACACACGGCGGGUGCUAACGUCCGUCGUGAAGAGGGAAACAACCCAGACCGCCAGCUAAGGUCCCAAAGUCAUGGUUAAGUGGGAAACGAUGUGGGAAGGCCCAGACAGCCAGGAUGUUGGCUUAGAAGCAGCCAUCAUUUAAAGAAAGCGUAAUAGCUCACUGGUCGAGUCGGCCUGCGCGGAAGAUGUAACGGGGCUAAACCAUGCACCGAAGCUGCGGCAGCGACACUAUGUGUUGUUGGGUAGGGGAGCGUUCUGUAAGCCUGUGAAGGUGGCCUGUGAGGGUUGCUGGAGGUAUCAGAAGUGCGAAUGCUGACAUAAGUAACGAUAAAGCGGGUGAAAAGCCCGCUCGCCGGAAGACCAAGGGUUCCUGUCCAACGUUAAUCGGGGCAGGGUGAGUCGACCCCUAAGGCGAGGCCGAAAGGCGUAGUCGAUGGGAAACAGGUUAAUAUUCCUGUACUUGGUGUUACUGCGAAGGGGGGACGGAGAAGGCUAUGUUGGCCGGGCGACGGUUGUCCCGGUUUAAGCGUGUAGGCUGGUUUUCCAGGCAAAUCCGGAAAACCAAGGCUGAGGCGUGAUGACGAGGCACUACGGUGCUGAAGCGACAAAUGCCCUGCUUCCAGGAAAAGCCUCUAAGCAUCAGGUAACAUCAAAUCGUACCCNAAACCGACACAGGUGGUCAGGUAGAGAAUACCAAGGCGCUUGAGAGAACUCGGGUGAAGGAACUAGGCAAAAUGGUGCCGUAACUUCGGGAGAAGGCACGCUGAUAUGUAGGUGAAGCGACUUGCUCGUGGAGCUGAAAUCAGUCGAAGAUACCAGCUGGCUGCAACUGUUUAUUAAAAACACAGCACUGUGCAAACACGAAAGUGGACGUAUACGGUGUGACGCCUGCCCGGUGCCGGAAGGUUAAUUGAUGGGGUUAGCGGCAACGCGAAGCUCUUGAUCGAAGCCCCGGUAAACGGCGGCCGUAACUAUAACGGUCCUAAGGUAGCGAAAUUCCUUGUCGGGUAAGUUCCGACCUGCACGAAUGGCGUAAUGAUGGCCAGGCUGUCUCCACCCGAGACUCAGUGAAAUUGAACUCGCUGUGAAGAUGCAGUGUACCCGCGGCAAGACGGAAAGACCCCGUGAACCUUUACUAUAGCUUGACACUGAACAUUGAGCCUUGAUGUGUAGGAUAGGUGGGAGGCUUUGAAGUGUGGACGCCAGUCUGCAUGGAGCCGACCUUGAAAUACCACCCUUUAAUGUUUGAUGUUCUAACGUUGGCCCGUAAUCCGGGUUGCGGACAGUGUCUGGUGGGUAGUUUGACUGGGGCGGUCUCCUCCUAAAGAGUAACGGAGGAGCACGAAGGUUGGCUAAUCCUGGUCGGACAUCAGGAGGUUAGUGCAAUGGCAUAAGCCAGCUUGACUGCGAGCGUGACGGCGCGAGCAGGUGCGAAAGCAGGUCAUAGUGAUCCGGUGGUUCUGAAUGGAAGGGCCAUCGCUCAACGGAUAAAAGGUACUCCGGGGAUAACAGGCUGAUACCGCCCAAGAGUUCAUAUCGACGGCGGUGUUUGGCACCUCGAUGUCGGCUCAUCACAUCCUGGGGCUGAAGUAGGUCCCAAGGGUAUGGCUGUUCGCCAUUUAAAGUGGUACGCGAGCUGGGUUUAGAACGUCGUGAGACAGUUCGGUCCCUAUCUGCCGUGGGCGCUGGAGAACUGAGGGGGGCUGCUCCUAGUACGAGAGGACCGGAGUGGACGCAUCACUGGUGUUCGGGUUGUCAUGCCAAUGGCACUGCCCGGUAGCUAAAUGCGGAAGAGAUAAGUGCUGAAAGCAUCUAAGCACGAAACUUGCCCCGAGAUGAGUUCUCCCUGACUCCUUGAGGGUCCUGAAGGAACGUUGAAGACGACGACGUUGAUAGGCCGGGUGUGUAAGCGCAGCGAUGCGUUGAGCUAACCGGUACUAAUGAACCGUGAGGCUUAACCUU